UACCUAUAAAUACAACUUUUUCUUGUAAUUUUCAGCCUAAGUCAAUUUUCCCUACCCUAAUCAUUCACCCUCUUCCUUUCCUCUUUUCUCUUCAAUUUUCUUUCUUUCUUACCUUGUGUGCUGUUGCUCAAGCUACCAAGAUUCACCAUCAAUUUAUCUUAUUUUUGCAAUGGGUUUUUGCACCAAAAUCUGAAAAUUUUAGUACUCAAGAUCAGCCUCCAUUGAUGCCCCAAAAGAACUCCAUUGCUGCUCGUUUCACCUAGCUUGUGUGGCGACUUUAAUACCCCAAAUCAGCAGUAAAGCCGAAAGACGUUUGCGCGUACAAUUUGCCUCAAAUUAGUGUAAGAAAUCUAACUAGUUUGGAUUCUGAAAAUUGAUGUAUUUGUAAUAGUUGGAUUAAACCCAUAAGUGGCUGUUUGGGGGCUGUUUAAGAAGCAUACUGAUUGAGUUUAAUACUGAUUUUUAAUUUAGGUUAAUUUUAAAGCUUAUUAGAGAUUUACAAGUGUGUUGCGAAAGUAUACCAAAAAAAAAAAAGUGUGUUGCGAAAGACUGUAAAAUAAGGUGUGUGUCUUAAACUCGAUAACUUGAUUGUUAAUGAUAAUUAUUAUGAUUUAAUUGGUGCUUUAGCUUUCUGAUUAGGCUUGGCUUAAUAGCUAAGUAAUUUAAUUUGUGAGUGGCCGAAUUAGGUAUGUUUCGAGCCUUAACUAUUUGGCAUGGUAGCAAAGUUGCUAGGUUGAUUGAAUGAUUGACAUUAUCGUGAAUGUUUGGUUAAUUUGAUGUAUGAUUGAUUUUAUGUAUAGCAUGUUUUUUUAAUGAAAAUAAGGCUUAUGCAUGAUAUAUUAGUACAAAGUGAAUUACUAUGAAACGUUCGUAAAACUACUAUACAUGUACACAAAAAAGUUGUGAAUGUACAUGAAAUUGUGAUUGGUGAAUGAUACCAUCUUAAUGGUAAUAUGAAAGUUGGAUUAUUGAUUCCAUACCUUGAAAGUAUUUGAUAAUUGAGGGUGUGCUGAACAUGCCAAUUAAAUGUGAAAAUAUUGAAUUAUGGCUAUGUAUGAGAUUGUGUGACAUAUUGUAUGUGCAUCGGGGUGGGUAAUUAUUGUGGUUGACGGAGGAGUUUUGUGGAGUACUGAUGACAUAUUAAGUCCAUAUUUAUUUGUAGUCAGUGCACUUCACUUGGAGUACUGAGGGGAUUGACAAUUUUAUUGCAUUAUAUGUUAUUUGGCAGAUUUUCUGCAUUUAUGAUAUAUGGUGCUUUUUACCACAUCGAGCCUUGCUCGCAUUCGUUGGAGUUUGGUAGACAGGUUUUGGGGAACUUGUGGUGUGUAACGGAUGGUUUAAGUAGGAAUCUAUUCUCGUCAGUGCAAAACUCAACUAGUCAUUGACUUCAUUGUAUCCUCGAAGUUAAUUUGGUUGGAACUCAUUUGCUCACCGAAGAUAGGUGGGGGCGAAUAUAACCUUAAAGAUAGUGGCUUGAUACACGCCUUGGAGCCUUGUCCUAUUUCUUCUUUUGUUCGAAUUCCUUUCAUGUGUUCAAGAUUUUCCUUACCGGAGAUUUAUACUAAUAGAAUGUUAUUGAUUUAUGCUACGUACUAUUUUUUGUUGUAUUGAAUGAUAUCAAGAUUAAUGAUUGACACUCAAAUGAAUGAUGGUUCAUGCUCAUAAAUCGUUUGACAUCGAUUUGAUAAUGGCUAUAUAAUGAUAUGAAAUUCCAAUGA
Long non-coding RNA from Gossypium arboreum, 1718 nucleotides. RefSeq lists it as uncharacterized. The transcript is spliced from 2 exons. NCBI's taxonomy places the organism in Eukaryota, Viridiplantae, Streptophyta, Magnoliopsida, Malvales, Malvaceae. The record is from RefSeq and is a predicted model, not a curated record.